RNAcentral lists this ribosomal RNA (580 nucleotides) under uncultured bacterium. RNAcentral's name for it is "bacterial SSU rRNA". It matches the Rfam family "Bacterial small subunit ribosomal RNA", at positions 335 to 916 of the family's 1533-position model. The record is from RNAcentral.
ACUCCUACGGGAGGCAGCAGUGAGGAAUAUUGGUCAAUGGGCGGAAGCCUGAACCAGCCAUCCCGCGUGCAGGAAGACGGCCCUAUGGGUUGUAAACUGCUUUUCCAGGGGGCGAACAGCCUUGACGUGUCAGGGUUUGACGGUACCCUGGGAAUAAGCAUCGGCUAACUCCGUGCCAGCAGCCGCGGUAAUACGGAGGGUGCGAGCGUUAUCCGGAUUUAUUGGGUUUAAAGGGUGCGUAGGCGGACAAAUAAGUCAGUGGUGAAACCCUGCAGCUUAACUGUAGAUGUGCCGUUGAUACUGUUAGUCUUGAGUAUGGUCAAGGUAGGCGGAAUGUGUAAUGUAGCGGUGAAAUGCUUGAUAUUACACAGAACACCGAUUGCGGAGGCAGCUUGCUGGGCCAAUACUGACGCUGAUGCACGAAAGCGUGGGGAUCGAACAGGAUUAGAUACCCUGGUAGUCCACGCCGUAAACGAUGAUCACUCGCUGUUGGCGAUACACAGUCAGCGGCUAAGCAAAAGCAUUAAGUGAUCCACCUGGGGAGUACGGCCGCAAGGCUGAAACUCAAAGGAAUUGACGG